UCAUCUAAUUUCAAGCUUAUAGUUGGAAAACAAAUCAAGAUGAACAAAUACUGCAAGAGAGGAAGAAGUCUGUUCUGCGGAUUGUUAAUGAAUUCUUUUGGCUUGCAUUAGUGGAAAUGAAGUCUCUGAACACUGCUGAUGUGACACUGGAGAGCUACUCUUUGUAUCCUCAGUUUUGGAUAAAGAAUGUGGCAUUCAUGAAGAACAGAGAUUUGUCUAAUGUCACAUGUCUGGUAGGCACUCCACCACAGGUAGGCUCAUCCUCCUGUUUCGACAACAUGCAUGAAGCCGCCACAAACCUGAGUUUGGUGUCACAUGCUGGUGACCUCAGCACAUGAGAGAUGGAGAUAAUGGAAUUGCCGUUUCAAGUCUAGCCUGGGCUACACAAUGAGAGACACUUUUAAAAAAUCACCUAUCUAUACCAGAUAUAAAAAUAAAUAAUAAUGUUUCAAAAGCAAUAACUUAUAAUCUCCUCUGUUUUCACCUAAACUUCAUUGUCUGCUACAGUCAAUGCCAUUGUGCUGUUCAGUCUAUAACGCUGAAAAUGACAAACAUUCUGUCUUUCCAUGUAUUCUGAGCUCCAUGUCCAGCACAGUAUCUGGAGUCAGACAGGAAAGCAGGCUUACUUCUCAUGGAAGUCAGCAGGCUGAAUUAUCAACAGUUCCAACUUCUGACCCUUCUUACGACUUGGUGUCUCUAAAUUACCUUCAGAAGGCCAAAGGAAUUGAAGAAAGAAUGGGAAAUGCUAUUUUCAAGGAGAAAACAUUCUAUUUAUUUAAUUCUUACUUUGUUUUAGUGGUAAUAUAUAUGCAAAUCAUUUACUUUUAAGUUUCGCCCUGCAGUCAUAACUGUGUGUGUCGCGUCUUUCAAGUAUGGUGUGAUGUUUGGGUAUCCGUGUACAACGUGGAAUGGGCUUUCUUGUGUAUUUACUUUUGUGCUUUAGCUGACCUGUGGUUUGUUCUUCAUCCUUCUGCUCGCCGCAAUGACUCCUCUUUUCCAUUUCAUUCACUUUUAAUACAUCAUUAGCCAUCCGUUGACCAGUCAGACACUUGGCUUUUAUUUAAUCCCUGUGCUCUUAAUUACAGAAUCACACUUACCACACUGAGAGCAGGAUGUAGUGCCAGAUGGCCCAGGACGGUCUUUGGACUGUCCUGGUUGGGUCGCCAGCAGCACCCGGGGAGCCUUUUGUUCUUCAUGUGGGGAUUUUAUACGGCUUUGUUUAGAAUAAAGUAACUGAGCUCAAAAUAUUGGCAGAAAUCCACAUGGUGUUCUUACAGAGAGGAGCGGGCAUGCGAUUACAGUGUAAAUAAAUCUCUGGCUCAACUUCUAAAUUCAGGAUGUGUCCUUUCUCUGGUGCUGUGGAUUGACUGACUUUAAAAACUUUCAGUUUCGGAGCUGACUGUCUCCUGCAAAAAUGUCUGUCGAGAUCCUUGUACGCUGAAAAAGAUGGAAAACUGAUGAAUGAGAAUAAAUCCCCUAUCAAGUGUGGUCUAAUCCAGGCUGGAAGGAUUAAACCAAAAUAAUUAGCAAAAAUCACACAGCAAUGGUCAAAGAGAGGGCGCCAUCUACAGCCUUGUUUCGGGAGUUUCAAGGCAAAAAAGAAAAUAAAUCUCAUCAGCUUGAGAGUCAAAUUGCAGAAUU
Molecule: long non-coding RNA, 1641 nt
Organism: Mesocricetus auratus (golden hamster)
Lineage: Eukaryota; Metazoa; Chordata; Mammalia; Rodentia; Cricetidae
Exons: 4
Source: RefSeq, a predicted model, not a curated record